UGCAGUCGAACGAUGAACCUCCUUCGGGAGGGGAUUAGUGGCGAACGGGUGAGUAACACGUGGGCAAUCUGCCCUUCACUCUGGGACAAGCCCUGGAAACGGGGUCUAAUACCGGAUACGACCUCCGACCGCAUGGUCUGGUGGUGGAAAGCUCCGGCGGUGAAGGAUGAGCCCGCGGCCUAUCAGCUUGUUGGUGGGGUGAUGGCCUACCAAGGCGACGACGGGUAGCCGGCCUGAGAGGGCGACCGGCCACACUGGGACUGAGACACGGCCCAGACUCCUACGGGAGGCAGCAGUGGGGAAUAUUGCACAAUGGGCGAAAGCCUGAUGCAGCGACGCCGCGUGAGGGAUGACGGCCUUCGGGUUGUAAACCUCUUUCAGCAGGGAAGAAGCGAGAGUGACGGUACCUGCAGAAGAAGCGCCGGCUAACUACGUGCCAGCAGCCGCGGUAAUACGUAGGGCGCAAGCGUUGUCCGGAAUUAUUGGGCGUAAAGAGCUCGUAGGCGGCUUGUCACGUCGGAUGUGAAAGCCCGGGGCUUAACCCCGGGUCUGCAUUCGAUACGGGCAGGCUAGAGUUCGGUAGGGGAAGAUCGGAAUUCCUGGUGUAGCGGUGAAAUGCGCAAAUAUCAGGAGGAACACCGGUGGCGAAGGCGGAUCUCUGGGCCGA
RNAcentral lists this ribosomal RNA (667 nucleotides) under Streptomyces sp. Its description in RNAcentral is "bacterial SSU rRNA". It matches the Rfam family "Bacterial small subunit ribosomal RNA", at positions 56 to 737 of the family's 1533-position model. Lineage: Bacteria; Bacillati; Actinomycetota; Actinomycetes; Kitasatosporales; Streptomycetaceae. The record is from RNAcentral.